UACGAAGGUCCCAAGCGUUGUCCGGAUUUAUUGGGUUUAAAGGGUGCGUAGGCGGGUUAUUAAGUCAGUGGUGAAAGCCUACAGCUUAACUGUAGAAUUGCCAUUGAUACUGAUGAUCUUGAGUAUGAUUGAGGUGGGCGGAAUGUGUCAUGUAGCGGUGAAAUGCUUAGAUAUGACACAGAACACCGAUUGCGAAGGCAGCUCACUAAGCCAUAACUGACGCUGAUGCACGAAAGCGUGGGGAGCAAACAGG
Molecule: ribosomal RNA, 253 nt
Filed under: uncultured bacterium
Lineage: Bacteria
Description: partial 16S ribosomal RNA
Rfam family: Bacterial small subunit ribosomal RNA
Source: RNAcentral